GACGAACGCUGGCGGCGUGCUUAACACAUGCAAGUCGAACGGAAAGGCCCUGCGUUUGUGGGGUGCUCGGGGGGGGAACGGGGGAGGAACACGUGAGUAACCUGCCCUUGACUUUGGGGUAACUUAAGGAAACUGGGGCUAAUACCGGAUAGGAGCUCCUGCUGCAGGGAGGGGGUGGGAAAGUUUCGGCGGUUGGGGAUGGACGCGCGGCUUAUGAGCUUGUUGGUGGGGGAGUGGCUGACCAAGGCUGUGACGGGUAGCCGGCCGGAGAGGGUGACCGGCCUCCUUGGUCCUGCGGUACGGCCCAGACUCCUACGGUAGGCAGCGGUGGGGAAUAUUGCCCAAUGGGCGGACGCCUGAUGCAGCAACCCCGCGUGUGUGAUGGCGGCCUUCGGGUUGUAAACCGCUUUCGCCUGUGACGAAGCGUUAGUGACGGUACUGGGUAAAGAAGCACCGGCUAACUACGUG
Molecule: ribosomal RNA, 468 nt
Filed under: uncultured bacterium
Lineage: Bacteria
Description: partial 16S ribosomal RNA
Rfam family: Bacterial small subunit ribosomal RNA
Source: RNAcentral